RNAcentral lists this unclassified non-coding RNA (304 nucleotides) under Hevea brasiliensis (rubber tree). The record is from RNAcentral. Lineage: Eukaryota; Viridiplantae; Streptophyta; Magnoliopsida; Malpighiales; Euphorbiaceae.
AAAAUUUUCAAUCUGAAGGGUUAAUAUACACAUAAAAAAACAACAAAAGCAACAAUAAUUGAAUGAGAAAAUUUGAAUGAGAAAAUUAACACACUUUAUUAUCUGGGCUAAUUCUUUGCCUCAAAACUAAUAUAGUGAUAGACUUCUUAGAUCUAGCAAGAAGAAUAAGAAAUAUGUGCCAUGAGCCUAAAAAUUCUGGUUCCGCCUCUGCCUCCUUCCUUUGGUACUCUUGUGUAGCUGUGGUCAACCAACUCUCCCUCGAUUAUUUCUUCAACAUUUUCAAGAAUGGGCUGUGCUUAUUGGG